CAAUAGCGUAUAUUAAAGUUGUUGCGGUAAAAAAGCUCGUAGUUGGAUUUCUGUUGAGAGCGACCGGUCCAUACCAUGUAUGCGUAUCUGGCUUGCUCUCGGCAUCCUCUCGAUAGACGUUACUGCGCUUGAUUGCGUGGUGCGGAUCUCGGGACUUUUACUUUGAGGAAAUUAGAGUGUUCACGGCAGGCUUUCGCCAGAAUACAUUAGCAUGGAAUAAUACUAUAGGAUCUUGGUUCUAUUUUGUUGGUUUCUAGAAUUGAGAUAAUGAUUAAUAGGGACAAUUGGGGGCAUUCGUAUCAACACGUCAGAGGUGGAAUUCUUGGAUAGUGUUGCGACGAACUACUGCGAAAGCAUUUGCCAAGGAUGUUUUCAUUGA
Molecule: ribosomal RNA, 379 nt
Filed under: uncultured eukaryote
Lineage: Eukaryota
Description: partial 18S ribosomal RNA
Rfam family: Eukaryotic small subunit ribosomal RNA
Source: RNAcentral